AGAGUAUUGAACAUUUGCAGUUAGGCAGACUCCUCUGAGUUGGCUCUCUUUCCUUUAAGGCAAUGUUGGCUACCAAUGGAAUAAUAGUAUUUCGAGAACAAUUUGAUGCUAACAUCAGACUUUGCUAUGAUAAAUAUGAGGCAGAUUAUGGAAUCUAUAAAAAAAUCAGCUCUACAUAGCACAACAAGUGGUAGUUGGUGACAAUUUAAGAUAUUUGUUCUGCUUUUACUUGUCAUUGAUGCUACUGCUCAGCAUGUUUCCUGGGCCUCAAACCCUGCCUGGAGCAACAUGAGGUCUCUGACUAUAGAAAUGCCUCCACAGAAGUCACCACAGCAGAAUCAACCACCAACAAUUCCAGCAAAUGUUUUAAGCAGUGGAUGCCCUAUGCUCAUAUACUAUGGCCAAUUCACCUGAACCACAAGUCUUUGGGGGAUACCGGAGCACCUGCAGGAAACCCAUGCCAACAACAUGCAAACUUCACACAGAAAUGCCAACUGGCUCAGCCAGGACUUGAACCAGCCGUCUUCUUGCUGUGAGGCGAAAGUGCUAACCACUGAGCCACCGCACGACAUCAUGUUGUCAUAAAUAUCCAAGGAUUUUAGGAUUAUGUGUGAUUUGGUAUGGCCAAAAACAUCACCUGAACAGCAACUGGUGGUUGGUGAAGGAUUAAACUUUCCUUUCCAGUCUAAAAGCUGUGAUACACAGUGGACAUUCGGCUGAUAGCCAAUACUGUGCUGUCAUUCACUGAAAAAAAAAUGAUGUCUGCAAAACUGUUGCAAACAAUUUAUUUGUGUUAAAUUUAAACAAACAAAUUAAAUUUAAUAAAAUUCUACUUAAUUUGUUUGUUUUAAUUCAGCCCAAAUAAAUUGUUUACAGCCACUUAACAUAAAAAAAAACUUAGUAAAUCG
This 908-nucleotide long non-coding RNA is filed under the name Danio rerio (zebrafish). RNAcentral describes it as "si:ch73-165l19.1 (ENSDARG00000101345.2)". The record is from RNAcentral. Lineage: Eukaryota; Metazoa; Chordata; Actinopteri; Cypriniformes; Danionidae.